AGCUGAGGGGUCUUCUGACACCGGGGAGGGCAGUCCAGCUGCGGGCAGCACAGAGAACAGCGCGCUGAGGACCACAGCAGGCGAUUCGUGCUCACUAAGAGAGGCUGACCAAGAACUGCAUAUGAAGAAGUCUGUAAAUGGAAAGGAUUCAUCAGGAAGUUGACUGAUAGCAGUCAAAUUGUAUGCAUCAGUGCUUUUCCUUCUCUUUUAUCCAGCAAAAUUUUAAGUGCAAAGUUGGAUCACAACCUGGAAGAAUUCAGGGCUGCACAGGCCAUUUGCAGGGCAAAGUCAGUGCCCAGCACAGCAGAGAAAAUCUUUCUGGUGAGCUGCGCCUGAACAUGUGUGAAGUGGAGGUAACAGCCUGGCACAGCACAGCCACCAAGGAGGGAGACUGAGAAGAAAGGAGAGACCGAGAAGAAAAGAGAGACCAGGAGUACAAAUUCACCUAAAAGAAGACCUCCACAUGAAAGAUAGUGAAUUUUUCUAUUAAAUCUGACAUCAUUUCCUUGUAUGUCUGAUUUAUUUGGGAAAGUGAAAAUUCAUAUCAUAAAAAUGGCAAAAUUUCUCCAAGUCCCCAAACCACCAUAAUGGCGCCCAUUUCAUCAAGCCAAGCAGGAGUAUCCUGGGACUCUCUAAGGAGGAGACACACUGGUAGCAAUCAGAAUAUUGGCAAAGCAUAAGCUUAAGGCAGGAGAAGAGUCAGUAUCCUGCCUCUAUGUGAUUCAGAGCACAGAAAUUGUUGCUCACAACCAUGACCUUGGGUCACUGACUCAGAGUUUAACCCGGAAAGGGGAAACCACAUCAAUUGUAUAGCUAGGUAGAUAGAUAUCUCAGAGAUAAUUUAAUCAGGGAAACCAUUGCACAGGUGAGGGAGGAGCCAGGGGGCCAAACAAAGAAUGACGGGGACCCAGAUAUUAGCAUCAGCAGGAUGUCACUGCACUCAGGCCAGUGGGUACAGGGUAUGGGGGGAUCGAACUGGGCUGAUGGCAUCCUGGAGAUGCUGGCAUUACCACACAGCUGCUGAGACUGGAGGCAGAUAGAGAAAGAAGACAAAGUUGGCUUAUCCCUUCCCUCCACCCUCCAGUCUCCCCUCAGUGCCCGGUGGACACACACCCAGCCAGUAACCGGGGAAGUCAGCUUAGAGGCAUCAGGCCUGCAGCUCACAGCAGAGGAAUGGACUGGAGGGCCAGAAGUCAUAAACAGGGAUUACAAUUGUCUAUCCCAUUUUAGAUCAUAAUCAUGGUUUUUUGCUUAAAUAGACCUAAAGUGGAAAGUUUCAAUAACUUGGAAAACAGAGAAAAAUAUAAAUAGCAGAGCAGUUUGAGGCAAUUGAGUAGAACAGUGUAAACCCUGUAAAGCUCUAGAGGUUUUGAGAGUGUCAUUAUAUCACAGUGAAAUGCAAUAAAACAUCUCAAUUUCACUGGAUGGUAAAGAAAAUCAUUUGGAUGCUGUAUAUUCUGUUUGGAAUGGAAAAAAUAUAAAGUAUAAUUUUUAAAAGCUUCUCAGUAUUUAAAGUAUUUAAGGGAUGACAAAGAUUCUUGUUAUGGACAAAAUAAUUUUGUCCCACUCCCCCCCAAAUUCGUACAUUGAAC
Molecule: long non-coding RNA, 1592 nt
Organism: Equus caballus (horse)
Lineage: Eukaryota; Metazoa; Chordata; Mammalia; Perissodactyla; Equidae
Source: Ensembl